GACGAACGCUGGCGGCGUGCUUAACACAUGCAAGUCGAACGGAAAGGCCCUGCUUUGGUGGGGUGCUCGAGUGGCGAACGGGUGAGUAACACGUGAGUAACCUGCCCUUGACUUUGGGAUAACUUCAGGAAACUGGGGCUAAUACCGGAUAGGAGCUCCUGCUGCAUGGUGGGGGUUGGAAAGUUUCGGCGGUUGGGGAUGGACUCGCGGCUUAUCAGCUUGUUGGUGGGGUAGUGGCUUACCAAGGCUUUGACGGGUAGCCGGCCUGAGAGGGUGACCGGACACAUUGGGACUGAGAUGCGGCACAGACUCCUACGGGAGGCAGCAGUGGGGAAUAUUGCACAGUGGGCGGAAGCCUGAUGCAGCAACGCCGCGUGCGGGAUGACGGCCUUCGGGUUGUAAACCGCUUUCGCCUGUGACGAAGCGUGAGUGACGGUAAUGGGUAAAGAAGCACCGGCUAACUACGUG
RNAcentral lists this ribosomal RNA (468 nucleotides) under uncultured bacterium. RNAcentral's name for it is "partial 16S ribosomal RNA". It matches the Rfam family "Bacterial small subunit ribosomal RNA", at positions 28 to 507 of the family's 1533-position model. The record is from RNAcentral.